This 1326-nucleotide ribosomal RNA is filed under the name Kocuria sp. RNAcentral's name for it is "bacterial SSU rRNA". It matches the Rfam family "Bacterial small subunit ribosomal RNA", at positions 34 to 1374 of the family's 1533-position model. Lineage: Bacteria; Bacillati; Actinomycetota; Actinomycetes; Micrococcales; Micrococcaceae. The record is from RNAcentral.
UGCGGGGGGGGUGCUUACACAUGCAGUCGAACGAUGAUGCCCAGCUUGCUGGGCGGAUUAGUGGCGAACGGGUGAGUAAUACGUGAGUAACCUGCCCUUGACUCUGGGAUAAGCCUGGGAAACUGGGUCUAAUACUGGAUACUACCUCUUGCCGCAUGGUGGGUGGUGGAAAGGGUUUUACUGGUUUUGGAUGGGCUCACGGCCUAUCAGCUUGUUGGUGGGGUAAUGGCUCACCAAGGCGACGACGGGUAGCCGGCCUGAGAGGGUGACCGGCCACACUGGGACUGAGACACGGCCCAGACUCCUACGGGAGGCAGCAGUGGGGAAUAUUGCACAAUGGGCGGAAGCCUGAUGCAGCGACGCCGCGUGAGGGAUGACGGCCUUCGGGUUGUAAACCUCUUUCAGUAGGGAAGAAGCGAGAGUGACGGUACCUGCAGAAGAAGCGCCGGCUAACUACGUGCCAGCAGCCGCGGUAAUACGUAGGGCGCAAGCGUUGUCCGGAAUUAUUGGGCGUAAAGAGCUCGUAGGCGGUUUGUCGCGUCUGCUGUGAAAGCCCGGGGCUCAACCCCGGGUCUGCAGUGGGUACGGGCAGACUAGAGUGCAGUAGGGGAGACUGGAAUUCCUGGUGUAGCGGUGAAAUGCGCAGAUAUCAGGAGGAACACCGAUGGCGAAGGCAGGUCUCUGGGCUGUUACUGACGCUGAGGAGCGAAAGCAUGGGGAGCGAACAGGAUUAGAUACCCUGGUAGUCCAUGCCGUAAACGUUGGGCACUAGGUGUGGGGGACAUUCCACGUUUUCCGCGCCGUAGCUAACGCAUUAAGUGCCCCGCCUGGGGAGUACGGCCGCAAGGCUAAAACUCAAAGGAAUUGACGGGGGCCCGCACAAGCGGCGGAGCAUGCGGAUUAAUUCGAUGCAACGCGAAGAACCUUACCAAGGCUUGACAUUCACCGGACCGCCCCAGAGAUGGGGUUUCCCUUCGGGGCUGGUGGACAGGUGGUGCAUGGUUGUCGUCAGCUCGUGUCGUGAGAUGUUGGGUUAAGUCCCGCAACGAGCGCAACCCUCGUUCUAUGUUGCCAGCACGUGAUGGUGGGGACUCAUAGGAGACUGCCGGGGUCAACUCGGAGGAAGGUGGGGAUGACGUCAAAUCAUCAUGCCCCUUAUGUCUUGGGCUUCACGCAUGCUACAAUGGCCGGUACAAAGGGUUGCGAUACUGUGAGGUGGAGCUAAUCCCAAAAAGCCGGUCUCAGUUCGGAUUGAGGUCUGCAACUCGACCUCAUGAAGUCGGAGUCGCUAGUAAUCGCAGAUCAGCAACGCUGCCUUAAUGGCCC